ACUGAUGAGGGUGAUUACAACAUCAAAUUACGUAAUUUGAUUAAUUUCCUGAAUGAGGGUGAUAAAGUCAAAGUUACUCUAAGAUUUAGAGGUCGGGAAAUGGCACACCAAGAGUUUGGUAUUCGUCUUUUGGAACGAGUAAAAGAUGAUCUUCAGCAACAUGCAGUAGUAGAACAAUUUCCCAGGCUAGAGGGUAGGCAAAUGGUAAUGGUAUUGUCACCUAAAAAGAAAGAAGUAAAAAAAGAAAAAAACUAAAUCGAAGAGAUUAAUAUAAAAGAAUAAGUUUCAACAGCAGUAAUAUUUAUGUGAGCAUGCUCAUCAUUCAAAUGA
Molecule: unclassified non-coding RNA, 330 nt
Filed under: Nitrosomonas communis
Lineage: Bacteria; Pseudomonadati; Pseudomonadota; Betaproteobacteria; Nitrosomonadales; Nitrosomonadaceae
Description: Long range pseudoknot
Source: RNAcentral